Molecule: ribosomal RNA, 458 nt
Filed under: uncultured bacterium
Lineage: Bacteria
Description: partial 16S ribosomal RNA
Rfam family: Bacterial small subunit ribosomal RNA
Source: RNAcentral
CCUACGGGAGGCAGCAGUGGGGAAUAUUGCACAAUGGGGGAAACCCUGAUGCAGCGACGCCGCGUGAGUGAAGAAGCGUUUCGGCGCGUAAAGCUCUGUCAGCGGGGAAGAAACACGGGUCGCGAGAGCCGCGGACGGUACCCGACCAAGAAGCCCCGGCUAACUACGUGCCAGCAGCCGCGGUAAUACGUAGGGGGGAAGCGUUAUCCGGAUUCACUGGGGGUAAAGGGGGCGUAGACGGCGAGACAAGUCUGGAGUGAAAGGCCGGGGCCCAACCCCGGGACUGCUCUGGAAACUGCCUGGCUAGAGUGCAGGAGAGGUAAGUGGAAUGCGUGGUGUAGCGGUGAAAUGCGUAGAUAUUAGGAGGAACACCAGUGGCGAAGGCGGCUUACUGGACUGUAACUGACGUUGUGGCUCGAAAGCGUGGGGAGCAAACAGGAUUAGAUACCCGAGUAGUC